CCGAAGCAUUCGUUGCGCGCCGCCUCCGCCGCCGCCUCCGCGGCUAGCGUCCCCUGCACCUGCUGCCUGGCGGUGCAGACGCAUGAAAACAAAAGCGCGCUCCUCAGAUCCCAUGCUCGUUGCAGCUCGCGGGAGGAUCGAUCAGGCUGGGUAGCAGUACGGGGUUUGGCGUGCACUCACUUGGCUGCCUCGACGGAGCAGCGGAAUGUGGGUCGGCGCGGGCAGAGCAGCUGGGCGGAGCGGCGUCGAGCGGCGUGGGCGCCGAGGGCACCCGUCGAGCCACAGCGGAGCGCUUGCGGCCUCGCUAGGGAGGAGAAAUCCAUGGCGG
This 328-nucleotide long non-coding RNA is filed under the name Hordeum vulgare. RNAcentral's name for it is "long non-coding RNA (HVUL_LNC018786)". Lineage: Eukaryota; Viridiplantae; Streptophyta; Magnoliopsida; Poales; Poaceae. The record is from RNAcentral.